This 870-nucleotide small RNA is filed under the name Pongo abelii (Sumatran orangutan). RNAcentral describes it as "processed transcript". Lineage: Eukaryota; Metazoa; Chordata; Mammalia; Primates; Hominidae. The record is from RNAcentral.
AUUUCUGUGUGCAGGCAAGCUUCUUGGCCUGUGGGCAGGAAGAGAUGGCAGCGGGGGAGACGCAGCUCUACGCCAAGGUCUCCAACAAGCUCAAGGGCCGCAGCAGCCCCUUGCUCCUGGAGCCCCUCCUGGCCAUGGGCUUCCCAGUGCACACCGCGCUGAAAGCGUUGGCAGCCACGGGGAGGAAGACGGCGGAGGAGGCCUUGGCCUGGCUACAUGAUCAUUGCAAUGACCCUUCUCUAGAUGACCCCAUCCCCCAGGAGUAUGCCCUUUUCCUCUGUCCAACGGGGCCCCUGCUGGAAAAACUUCAAGAGUUCUGGAGAGAGAGCAAGCGCCAGUGUGCAAAGAACAGAGCUCAUGAGGUCUUCCCACACGUGACACUCUGUGACUUCUUCACGGGACCAGCCAUCUGAUUCAGAAAAAAAUGGCCCAGUGGGUAGCUCCACAGCCACACACAAUGGCCCAGCGGGCAGCUCUACAGGGGCACUGGGAAGACAAGAAGGAUGUGGGAGCUUCUCAGGAGAAAAGAAGGAGAAGGGAGGGACAGACAGCCACUGCCCUCCUCAGCUCCGCCAGAGGGGCUUAAGGAAGGGCACACCCACUUUCGCUACCGCGGCCUGGCCCUAACUCUGCUGUUGGCAAACUGAUUUGUUCCACCCAUUUCAAGGAAUUCCAUCAGGGCCCAAACAACCCUCCAUUCCAACACCAGGCCCCUCAGUGCUGGAUGGUAAGGAGGAAUGCAAACCUCUGAAGGGAAAAGAUUUCUGGAAGAUGUCCCAGGAGAAGCAGCACCUUCCAAAGCCUCCAACCACCACCCCGGAUUGCCUGAGACUUGCAGGGAUCCCCAGAGCACAGGACUAAGCCUGGGAA